AUACGGAGGAUGCAAGCGUUAUCCGGAUUUAUUGGGUUUAAAGGGUGCGUAGGCGGUUUGCUAAGCGGGAGGUGAAAUGCCGGCGCUCAACGUCGGAAGUGCCUCCCGAACUGGUGGACUUGAAUGACUCUGCCGUGGGAGGAAUGUGUAGUGUAGCGGUGAAAUGCUUAGAGAUUACACAGAACACCGAUUGCGAAGGCAUCUCACGAAGGGUUGAUUGACGCUGAGGCACGAAAGCGUGGGGAUCAAACAGGAUUAGAUUCCCUGGUAGUCCACGCAGUAAACGAUGAUGGCUAACCGCUGGGCUUAUCAGUUCAGUGGCCAAGCGAAAGCGAUAAGCCAUCCACCUGGGGAGUACGACCGCAAGGUUGAAACUCAAAUGAAUUGACGGGG
This 393-nucleotide ribosomal RNA is filed under the name uncultured bacterium. Its description in RNAcentral is "partial 16S ribosomal RNA". It matches the Rfam family "Bacterial small subunit ribosomal RNA", at positions 523 to 918 of the family's 1533-position model. The record is from RNAcentral.